GCCCAGAUAGCUCAAUUGGCAGAGCACCUCACUUGUAAUGAGGAUGUUGGAGGUUCGAUUCCUCUUCUGGGCU
RNAcentral lists this transfer RNA (73 nucleotides) under Candidatus Omnitrophota bacterium. RNAcentral describes it as "Candidatus Omnitrophica bacterium tRNA-Thr". It matches the Rfam family "tRNA". From Rfam's summary of the family: Transfer RNA (tRNA) molecules are approximately 80 nucleotides in length. The record is from RNAcentral. Lineage: Bacteria; Pseudomonadati; Candidatus Omnitrophota.